GCGGAAAUAGCUCAGUUGGNNGCUCAGUUGGUAGAGCAUAACCUUGCCAAGGUUAGGGUCGCGAGUUCGAGUCUCGUUUUCCGCUCAA
RNAcentral lists this transfer RNA (88 nucleotides) under Bacteroides sp. Its description in RNAcentral is "tRNA-Gly". It matches the Rfam family "tRNA". From Rfam's summary of the family: Transfer RNA (tRNA) molecules are approximately 80 nucleotides in length. Their secondary structure includes four short double-helical elements and three loops (D, anti-codon, and T loops). The record is from RNAcentral. Lineage: Bacteria; Pseudomonadati; Bacteroidota; Bacteroidia; Bacteroidales; Bacteroidaceae.